GACGAACCGAGCGAACGUUGUUCGGAAUCACUGGGCUUAAAGGGCGCGUAGGCGGGUGCUCAAGUCCGGGGUGAAAUCCUCCAACUCAACUGGAGAACUGCCUCGGAUACUGGGUGCCUCGAGUGUGGUAGGGGUGUGCGGAACUAUCGGUGGAGCGGUGAAAUGCGUUGAUAUCGAUAGGAACUCCGGUGGCGAAGGCGGCACACUGGACCACAACUGACGCUGAGGCGCGAAAGCCAGGGGAGCAAACAGG
RNAcentral lists this ribosomal RNA (253 nucleotides) under uncultured bacterium. Its description in RNAcentral is "partial 16S ribosomal RNA". It matches the Rfam family "Bacterial small subunit ribosomal RNA", at positions 524 to 776 of the family's 1533-position model. The record is from RNAcentral.